CGGCCGGCGCACGGUGAGUAACGCGUAUGCAACUUACCUAUCAGGAGGGGAUAACCCGGCGAAAGUCGGACUAAUACCGCAUGAAGCAGGGGCCCCGCAUGGGGAUAUUUGCUAAAGAUUCAUCGCUGAUAGAUAGGCAUGCGUUCCAUUAGGCAGUUGGCGGGGUAACGGCCCACCAAACCGACGAUGGAUAGGGGUUCUGAGAGGAAGGUCCCCCACAUUGGUACUGAGACACGGACCAA
Molecule: ribosomal RNA, 242 nt
Filed under: uncultured bacterium
Lineage: Bacteria
Description: partial 16S ribosomal RNA
Rfam family: Bacterial small subunit ribosomal RNA
Source: RNAcentral